This 495-nucleotide ribosomal RNA is filed under the name uncultured bacterium. RNAcentral describes it as "partial 16S ribosomal RNA". It matches the Rfam family "Bacterial small subunit ribosomal RNA", at positions 28 to 505 of the family's 1533-position model. The record is from RNAcentral.
GAUGAACGCUGGCGGCGUGCCUAAUACAUGCAAGUCGAACGAACAGAUGAGGAGCUUGCUCCUCUGACGUUAGCGGCGGACGGGUGAGUAACACGUGGAUAACCUACCUAUAAGACUGGGAUAACUUCGGGAAACCGGAGCUAAUACCGGAUAAUAUAUUGAACCGCAUGGUUCAAUAGUGAAAGACGGUUUUGCUGUCACUUAUAGAUGGAUCCGCGCCGCAUUAGCUAGUUGGUAAGGUAACGGCUUACCAAGGCAACGAUGCGUAGCCGACCUGAGAGGGUGAUCGGCCACACUGGAACUGAGACACGGUCCAGACUCCUACGGGAGGCAGCAGUAGGGAAUCUUCCGCAAUGGGCGAAAGCCUGACGGAGCAACGCCGCGUGAGUGAUGAAGGUCUUCGGAUCGUAAAACUCUGUUAUUAGGGAAGAACAAAUGUGUAAGUAACUAUGCACGUCUUGACGGUACCUAAUCAGAAAGCCACGGCUAACGACG